ACGGAAGGCAGCAGUGAGGAAUAUUGGUCAAUGGGCGGAAGCCUGAACCAGCCAAGUCGCGUGAAGGAUGAAGGUAUUAUGUAUUGUAAACUUCUUUAGCAGCAGAGUAAUAAGGGGGUCGUGACCCCCGAUGCAAGUAUGCUGAAAAUAAGGAUCGGCUAACUCCGUGCCAGCAGCCGCGGUAAUACGGAGGAUCCGAGCGUUAUCCGGAUUUAUUGGGUUUAAAGGGUGCGCAGGCGGUUUUUUAAGUCAGUGGUUAAAUCAUGAGGCUCAACCUCAUCACGCCAUUGAUACUGGAAGACUUGAUUGCGGUUGAGGUUGGCGGAAUUCGUCGUGUAGCGGUGAAAUGCAUAGAUAUGACGAAGAACACCGAUUGCGUAGGCAGCUGACCAAGCCGUAAAUGACGCUCAUGCACGAAAGUGCGGGGAUCGAACAGGAUUAGAUACCCUGGUA
This 453-nucleotide ribosomal RNA is filed under the name uncultured Porphyromonadaceae bacterium. RNAcentral's name for it is "partial 16S ribosomal RNA". It matches the Rfam family "Bacterial small subunit ribosomal RNA", at positions 341 to 792 of the family's 1533-position model. Lineage: Bacteria; Pseudomonadati; Bacteroidota; Bacteroidia; Bacteroidales; Porphyromonadaceae. The record is from RNAcentral.